Molecule: long non-coding RNA, 1673 nt
Organism: Triticum aestivum (bread wheat)
Lineage: Eukaryota; Viridiplantae; Streptophyta; Magnoliopsida; Poales; Poaceae
Exons: 6
Source: RefSeq, a predicted model, not a curated record
CGAAGGUAAAAACGGCUCGGGAUUUGACCCCUCUCUCGUUUCCUCUCCCGCAUAACCCUCUCCUUCCGCCUCCGCCGCCACACCCCUCGGGUUUGAAGCCCACACACGCGACCUCUCUCCCAUGUAACCGGCCGGCAUGAGCGUCGCCAGCGGGAGAGCACGCAGCCCACCCCAACAGCAGCGGGGAGCUGGCCUGCCGCCGCCGCCGCCUGCCGCGCCUCGCCGGGGAGGCGACCCGGCGACCGGAGGAGAGGGCACCAUGGCGCGGAAGCAUGGCUGGCAGCUCCCGGCCCACACCCUGCAGGCGGCUUCCGGCGGAGGAGUCUUGUAGUGUUCGUGGAGGCUACGAGGAGGUAGCGAUGGGGAUCGGCUACCGAGCGAGGGCAAGGGCGCCGAUCUCCCAUCUCCUGUUUGUAAUCACCGACGCGGCCACCAUCGACUGGAUCUUCACCCCCUCAGAAGAUGUGCCAUGAGUUGAUGGGCAGCUAGCCGUUGCAAGAGCAUUCAGAGAUAUGAGCUGCUACUCAUACACAGCUCCUACAAACUUACGGAGCCAUUGUUCUCCUACCUGGGAGCGGAUAGGAAGGAUUUGGGUGCCGGCAACGUGGGGCUGAGAAGAAAGGAGGAUGUGUGAGGACAACUAGUGGGCGUACUACAACCGCAGCUGAUUCAUGUGUGUUGUUUGUUCGAUCCAACCCUUCCGUCUGCAGGGCCUGGCGAAGGGAAUGAAGAUGCACACCCUCGGCCACGACUUUGUCCUCUAGGUACAAAAGCGAGAUAGACUGAAAUUUGAUAAACAUUUGCUGAAUAUAAAGUAUUGCAUGAUUCCUUGCAUUAGCCUCUUUCCAAAUGCUCAGUUUUAUGACAGGAAGAUUUUACAUGGUUCAAAUGUCCUGUCUCCUAGCUAUGACAAGGAUUAUAUAUGCCUCCUGUAUGGCAGCUACACUCUUGUAAAUGUCACGGAUGGGAGGGAAGACAAGGAGGGCACAGGAAACAGUCGACGAAACAUGGUUGAAGUUGUUGUUGUUCUGCACCUCAUCCAAACCAUCUUUAGAUGUUGGAAAAGUACAGGCAAAGCGCUCAGCAUUGGUGUGGUCUCUUCGUAUGGUCUCAAGUUGACGCUAUUAAAGAUAGACUUGAUAAAAAAUACAACACAUGUGAUGGCUUUCAUGUGCACGUCAAGUCUAUUGAUGGUUUUCAAGGAGAAGAGGACGAUAUAUUAAUACUAUGAACGGUAAUAUCCAAUUGGAAUGGAGUUGUUGGGUUUCUUGCUGAUAACCAAAGAACAAACAUUACAUGGGACAAGGGCAAGGCUCUGGAUUUUCUGAAUGAAUCGUUAGGAUAUACACAACUGAAGCGAUGACGUCCUGCCGGUGUAUAUUGGCGACGACCGCAUCGACAGGAUCCUGGUGGCCAAGUGCCUCAAGGAGAGCAGCACGUCUUACUCACUCCAGGACCCAGCAGAGCUUUUUCAUGGCCUUUAGACAUUUGAAACGGAGGGAGUAUGAUCCUCCUAUAUUUGUGUGCUUGUAGCUUUGAUCUAUUUUAUGAAUGUGUGCUGUUGCUGUAUCUUAUUUUUCCAACCUAUUGAUCCUGUCACAUGUGCGCCAGGGCAGGCUCUGGUCAGCACUAAGGGAUUUUAGUUAUAAUUCCAUGAGCAAUGCUUGCAUUCA